GACAUUUGCCAAUGAAGAAGAGCUGGCUGUUGUGGCUGCUGGUGCAUUUGGCAGAUAGUUCCUGUUCUAGUGUUGAAAUGAAAAUUUAAAACCCCACACGCAUGGCUGGGAUAUUCUACAGCAGCUUGGCUGCAGGAGUUAUUUUGCUGGCUGCUAAGAAGCACCACUAGCCUAUUGCGGGGAGGGGAUCCAGCGUGUAUGCUGGACAUGUGUGGCAAGUCCCUAGGGAGAUUCUUUUGGGCUUUUUUAUACCCUCCUCUUUCUUCUUCAUUACCUUGGGCAUUCCAAGGCUCUUUUUCACCAGCUGGCAUCCUGGGAUGAGAAACACAGCACACAGGCUCAAGGGUGGCCAUGCAUGACGGCAGCUCAGUGACUCGGUGACCAAAUAUUUCCUCUAAUUUUGUUUGCAGGAUGAUGGAGCACUGAGCUGAAGCAGCGUGGGGAGAGCACAGCAUGCUUGCUCAUGAGCACCACGUCAGGGCUAAAAGCCCUUUCUCUUCCUGCCAGGUCUGAGUCACUGGCGAGAGCCAGGUAGCUACGGGAGCUGGAAGUGAAAGAGGCAGUUCCCCUAUGAAAUUCCUGUGACCAUGUCGACCUGCCUGGAGUCACCACCACUUUAUUGAUGUUUUCUUGACACCAGCUCCUGUAGAAUUGUAGACUGUCCUCCACAGCCCAUUCUGCUAAGUCUGGUAGGCUGUGCUGUUGUAUGUCUUGGUUUCUAAAAAGAGCAUUAAUCCUUCUUCUGUUCAAUGUGAAAUGUAUACCACGGGUUAGUUUCUCUGCAUUCAUAGAACCAGAUUUUUCUAUUUGAAAUUUUCAGUUUCUAUAAAGUCUGUUUGCCAAGAGUGGACAUAAUAAAUUACUCUUUAAGGUCUUUAUGAUCUAGUACUAAGACGGCUAAGGUCACAGGUGGCUCUUGGGUGACUGAAGGCUUCACAGACAAAAAGAACAAUACCUUGCAUUGACUCCAAGAGCAAAUUGAGAAGAGGUGGAUGUUCUGGAGCAUAUAUGUAAUAUGUCCUCUGUAGAGCAGGGGGAUUCUCCAGAGGCCCCCUCCAAAUUCAACUACUCAUUCUGAACUGGGAAGAAGGUUUUCUUUAAGAGGUGUCUGUAACCUUUGUGAUUUGAAAUUUCAUUUUCAUUUCACUCCAUCUUUCCAAUAAUGAGUAUAUCGCUAAGUAACAAUUUUCUCCCACCUCCAACAUUUCAUAUCCCUGUUGCUGCCAGGGUACCCAGAUCCCAUGAAGAGCCAAAUCAAGACCCUGUGAAUUCACACUGGUUUUUAAACAGAGGGCACAUUCUGGAUUUUGGCUUACUGGUGAAACUCUGUGUAGAAGGUACGAAGAUAUCACAUAGCAAAAACGUUUAUGGCACUUCUUGCUAGCGUGUGUCCGCCCUACAAGAACUGCGGGUAAUAUAAACGUAACAGAUGGAAUCACAGCUUACCAGUUAUAUGAGCUUGCACAAACUGCUUGAAGACUCUGUCCAUGUAAGUGCACUUCCUUGGCCAUAUUCCUUCCAGAAAACCGAUGUGGCCUCC
Long non-coding RNA from Strigops habroptila (Kakapo), 1540 nucleotides. RefSeq lists it as uncharacterized. The transcript has 4 exons. The record is from RefSeq and is a predicted model, not a curated record. NCBI's taxonomy places the organism in Eukaryota, Metazoa, Chordata, Aves, Psittaciformes, Psittacidae.